ACGGAGGGUGCGAGCGUUGUCCGGAAUCAUUGGGCGUAAAGGGCGCGUAGGUGGCUUCUCAAGCGUGCGGUGAAAGCCUGGGGCUCAACCCCGGGUCGGCCGUGCGAACUGGGGGGCUGGAGCACUGUAGAGGCAGGCGGAAUUCCGGGUGUAGCGGUGGAAUGCGUAGAGAUCCGGAGGAACACCGGUGGCGAAGGCGGUUCUCUGGGCAUUACCUGACGCUGAGGAGCGAAAGUGUGGGGAGCGAACAGGA
Molecule: ribosomal RNA, 253 nt
Filed under: uncultured prokaryote
Description: partial 16S ribosomal RNA
Rfam family: Bacterial small subunit ribosomal RNA
Source: RNAcentral